Molecule: ribosomal RNA, 385 nt
Filed under: uncultured Methanosaeta sp.
Lineage: Archaea; Methanobacteriati; Methanobacteriota; Methanomicrobia; Methanotrichales; Methanotrichaceae
Description: bacterial SSU rRNA
Rfam family: Archaeal small subunit ribosomal RNA
Source: RNAcentral
CAGGCUGAAGACUUACCCGAUUAGCUGAGAGGUGGUGCAUGGCCGUCGUCAGUUCGUACUGUUGAAGCAUCCUGUUAAGUCAGGCAACGAGCGAGACCCACGUCCACAGUUGCCAGCAUACCCUCCGGGGUGAUGGGUACACUGUGGAGACCGCCGCUGCUAAAGCGGAGGAAGGAGUGGGCAACGGUAGGUCAGUAUGCCCCGAAUCUCCCGGGCUACACGCGGGCUACAAUGGUUGGUACAAGUGGGCAUCUACCCCGAAAGGGGAAGGAAAUCUCUUAAAGCCAAUCGUAGUUCGGAUUGAGGGCUGCAACUCGCCCUCAUGAAGCUGGAAUCCGUAGUAAUCGCGUUUCAACAGAACGCGGUGAAUACGUCCCUGCUCCUU